UGGCUCAAAUGGUAAAGCAUCUGCCUGCAGUGCAGGAGACCCAGGUUCGAUCCCUGG
RNAcentral lists this transfer RNA (57 nucleotides) under Bos taurus (domestic cattle). It matches the Rfam family "tRNA", at positions 8 to 63 of the family's 71-position model. Rfam says of the family: Transfer RNA (tRNA) molecules are approximately 80 nucleotides in length. Their secondary structure includes four short double-helical elements and three loops (D, anti-codon, and T loops). Further hydrogen bonds mediate the characteristic L-shaped molecular structure. tRNAs have two regions of fundamental functional importance: the anti-codon, which is responsible for specific mRNA codon recognition, and the 3' end, to which the tRNAs corresponding amino acid is attached (by aminoacyl-tRNA synthetases). tRNAs cope with the degeneracy of the genetic code in two manners: having more than one tRNA (with a specific anti-codon) for a particular amino acid; and 'wobble' base-pairing, i.e. permitting non-standard base-pairing at the 3rd anti-codon position. Lineage: Eukaryota; Metazoa; Chordata; Mammalia; Artiodactyla; Bovidae. The record is from Rfam by way of RNAcentral. RNAcentral also lists the same sequence under 5 other names.